Molecule: ribosomal RNA, 517 nt
Filed under: uncultured bacterium
Lineage: Bacteria
Description: bacterial SSU rRNA
Rfam family: Archaeal small subunit ribosomal RNA
Source: RNAcentral
AGUAAAUAGAUACCCGGGUAGUCCCAGCCGUAAACGAUGCUCGCUAGGUGUCAGGCAUGGCGCGACCGUGUCUGGUGCCGCAGGGAAGCCGUGAAGCGAGCCACCUGGGAAGUACGGCCGCAAGGCUGAAACUUAAAGGAAUUGGCGGGGAGCACAACAACGGGUGGAGCCUGCGGUUUAAUUGGACUCAACGCCGGACAACUCACCGGGGGCGACAGCAAUAUGUAGGCCAAGCUGAAGACUUUGCCUGAAUCGCUGAGAGGAGGUGCAUGGCCGUCGCCAGUUCGUACUGUGAAGCAUCCUGUUAAGUCAGGCAACGAGCGAGACCCGUGCCCACUGUUACCAGCAUAUUCUCCGGAAUGAUGGGUACUCUGUGGGGACCGCCUAUGUUAAACUAGGAGGAAGGUGCGGGCCACGGUAGGUCAGUAUGCCCCGAAUCUCCCGGGCUACACGCGGGCUACAAUGGAUGGGACAAUGGGUCCCUACUCCGAAACGGAGCUGGUAAUCUCACAAACCC